CCUACGGGUGGCAGCAGUGGGGAAUAUUGGGCAAUGGGCGCAAGCCUGACCCAGCAACGCCGCGUGAAGGAAGAAGGCUCUCGGGUUGUAAACUUCUUUUAUCAGGGACGAAGCAAGUGACGGUACCUGAUGAAUAAGCCACGACUAACUACGUGCCAGCAGCCGCGGUAAUACGUAGGUGGCAAGCGUUAUCCGGAUUUACUGGGUGUAAAGGGCGGGUAGGCGGGAAAGCAAGUCAGAUGUGAAAAACAUGGGCUCAACCUGUGGCCUGAAUUUGAAACUGUUUUUCUUGAGUACUGGAGAGGCAGACGGAAUUCCGAGUGUAGCGGUGAAAUGCGUAGAUAUUAGGAGGAACACCAGUGGCGAAGGCGGUCUGCUGGACAGCAACUGACGCUGAGGCGCGAAAGCGUGGGGACCAAACAGGAUUAGAUACCCCAGUGUC
This 442-nucleotide ribosomal RNA is filed under the name uncultured bacterium. RNAcentral's name for it is "partial 16S ribosomal RNA". It matches the Rfam family "Bacterial small subunit ribosomal RNA", at positions 338 to 795 of the family's 1533-position model. The record is from RNAcentral.